CGAUGCGAUCAUACCAGCACUAAUGCACCGGAUCCCAUCAGAACUCCGCAGUUAAGCGUGCUUGGGCGAGAGUAGUACUAGGAUGGGUGACCCCCUGGGAAGUCAUCGUGCUGCAACCC
This 119-nucleotide ribosomal RNA is filed under the name Helianthus annuus (common sunflower). Lineage: Eukaryota; Viridiplantae; Streptophyta; Magnoliopsida; Asterales; Asteraceae. The record is from RNAcentral.